Molecule: ribosomal RNA, 292 nt
Filed under: uncultured bacterium
Lineage: Bacteria
Description: partial 16S ribosomal RNA
Rfam family: Bacterial small subunit ribosomal RNA
Source: RNAcentral
UUUCCUACGGGAGGCAGCAGUGGGGAAUAUUGCACAAUGGGGGAAACCCUGAUGCAGCAACGCCGCGUGAGUGAAGAAGUAUUUCGGUAUGUAAAGCUCUAUCAGCAGGGAAGAAAAUGACGGUACCUGACUAAGAAGCCCCGGCUAAAUACGUGCCAGCAGCCGCGGUAAUACGUAUGGGGCAAGCGUUAUCCGGAUUUACUGGGUGUAAAGGGAGCGCAGGCGGCCUGCCAAGUCUGGUGUGAAAACCCGGGGCCCAACCCCGGGCCUGCAUUGGAAACUGGCGGGCUGG